GCUAACCCAAGAUUACUAGACACCAGAGCCUAGCUAGGCCUGGCAUGGGACUUUUACAAGUGCCUUGUUCCCUGGGACUAAGGUGUUUUUUCUUUUGGGAUCUGCAGAGUGCCCAUGGGUGGACAGGCCUAGAGGCAGGCCACAGUAGGAGGUAGCACAGGGAGGAAAUGGUGGGUCUGAGCAGACAGACCUUCGCUCUUUAUUACAGGGUCCCUGGGCUGGAACCCAGAAUAGUGAGAAGGCCUGGGUCCUCUACCAGCCCAUUGACAAAAGUGACACCAAGGCCCCAUAGAUAAGAGCUGGAAUGGGCUAUUAAGUCUGAAGUCAGGCUGAAGACCUGGUGGGAAGCUGCUGAACUAUAAUAGCACUUUGUCUACCCAAGAAGGACUGGGACCAUAUGUCACCCAGCCCGAGGGCUGAGACACAAAAGUAGACCACCACAGGACUGCAGCAGCUGUCAGCAUGAGGGGCACCUGAGGAGACCCUGCUACACCGUGGCCUGCCAUGAGGGACUGUGCUGCCUAAUGGGUAAAAUGGAGGCCUGGUGACAGCAAGUAACUUACCCAAAGCUGUGUACACUCCUGCAAUGGCAGAAGGCACAGACAAGCCACGCAGCCGGGACAGAGGCUGGUAGAGGCCAUCUCCAAUAAAUCUGCAUCUGGAGGGAGUCAUCUCUGCAUGGAGCUUUCACCUUUGUGUUGGAGAAGAGUGUUGGCCAUCUCUUCAGCACUAUAAACUUAACUUCUGAAGCCCAUGAAGGAUGCUGUCUGGUCUAGGACAUGCCAGGGAUGAAGACUAGAGAAGUCGCCUCAGAGAAGUCUUCACACUGUGUGGCUCAUCCAGUCACUAGGGAGGAACUUGCCACUCUGCUGGGACAUCAGGUAG
Long non-coding RNA from Mauremys reevesii (Reeves's turtle), 885 nucleotides. RefSeq lists it as uncharacterized. The record is from RefSeq and is a predicted model, not a curated record. Lineage: Eukaryota; Metazoa; Chordata; Testudines; Geoemydidae. The transcript is spliced from 4 exons.